AUGGGGGCGGGCGGCGCAGCCAAAUGCCGGCGACAGUGUGCCUUUGGGCCAAUGGGGCACCACCGGGGAGGGUGGUGGGCAUUCAUGUUACUUAUGUUUAUCAUGAUUCCUGAAUGUGUGGCUGAUAAGUUGUUGCACAUCACCACUGCAGCGACGGGGAAAAUCGCAACAAAAACAGAUGUUUUCAGCUUUGGGGUGGUGUUGAUGGAGCUGAUAACCGGAAUGACCGCCAUCGACGAGAGACGCAUCGACGAGGAACCCCGGUAUCUGGCCUCCUGGUUCGGCCAGAUAAGGAAGGACGAAGAGAAGUUCAGGGCAGCCAUCGACCCUACCCUGGAUAUCACCGACGAGAUCUUCGAGAGCAUCUCGGUGAUCGCGGAGCUCACCGGGCACUGCACCUCCCGAGAGCCCUUGUGGCAGCCGGACAUGGGGCAUGUUGUGACGUUGCUAGGCCCGAUGGUGGAGAAAUGGAAGCCGUCGAGCAGCGAGACCGAGGACUACACGGACAUCGGCCUGGACCUGCCGCUGGUCCAGAUGGUGAAGGAGUGGCAGGAGUCGGAGGCGAGCAUGACCGACUACAGUAUCCUAAGCCUGAGCCUCGAGGACAGCAAGGGCAGCAUCCCCACCUGGUCUGCUGGGUUCGCCGAGUCCUUCACCUCCGCCGAUGGCCGGUGA
This 675-nucleotide ribosomal RNA is filed under the name Triticum aestivum (bread wheat). RNAcentral describes it as "partial small subunit ribosomal RNA". The record is from RNAcentral. Lineage: Eukaryota; Viridiplantae; Streptophyta; Magnoliopsida; Poales; Poaceae.